RNAcentral lists this ribosomal RNA (756 nucleotides) under uncultured bacterium. Its description in RNAcentral is "bacterial SSU rRNA". It matches the Rfam family "Bacterial small subunit ribosomal RNA", at positions 8 to 796 of the family's 1533-position model. The record is from RNAcentral.
AGAGUUUGAUCCUGGCUCAGAAUCAACGCUGGCGGCGUGCCUAACACAUGCAAGUCGCACGAGAAAGUGGAGCAAUCCAUGAGUAAAGUGGCGCACGGGUGAGUAACACGUGAAUUAUCUACCUCCGAGUGGGGAAUAACUGAGAGAAAUCUUAGCUAAUACCGCAUAACACUUACGAGUCAAAGCAGCAAUGCGCUUGGAGAGGAGUUCGCGGCCGAUUAGUUAGUUGGCGGGGUAAUGGCCCACCAAGACGAUGAUCGGUAUCCGGCCUGAGAGGGCGCACGGACACACUGGAACUGAAACACGGUCCAGACUCCUACGGGAGGCAGCAGUGGGGAAUUUUGCGCAAUGGGGGAAACCCUGACGCAGCAACGCCGCGUGGAGGAUGAAAUAUCUUGGUAUGUAAACUCCUUUCGAUGGGGAAGAUUAUGACGGUACCCAUAGAAGAAGCCCCGGCUAACUUCGUGCCAGCAGCCGCGGUAAUACGAGGGGGGCAAGCGUUGUUCGGAUUUAUUGGGCGUAAAGGGUGCGUAGGCGGUUUGGCAAGUCUGAUGUGAAAUCUAUGGGCUCAACCCAUAGUCUGCAUCAGAAACUGCCGGGCUUGAGUAUGGGAGAGGUGAGUGGAAUUUCCGGUGUAGCGGUGAAAUGCGUAGAUAUCGGAAGGAACACCUGUGGCGAAAGCGGCUCACUGGACCAUAACUGACGCUGAUGCACGAAAGCUAGGGGAGCAAACAGGAUUAGAUACCCUAGUAGUCC